This 694-nucleotide ribosomal RNA is filed under the name uncultured Bacteroides sp. RNAcentral describes it as "bacterial SSU rRNA". It matches the Rfam family "Bacterial small subunit ribosomal RNA", at positions 32 to 715 of the family's 1533-position model. The record is from RNAcentral. Lineage: Bacteria; Pseudomonadati; Bacteroidota; Bacteroidia; Bacteroidales; Bacteroidaceae.
AACGCUAGCUACAGGCUUAACACAUGCAAGUCGAGGGGCAGCAUGAACUUAGCUUGCUAAGUUCGAUGGCGACCGGCGCACGGGUGAGUAACGCGUAUCCAACCUUCCGUACACUCAGGGAUAGCCUUUCGAAAGAAAGAUUAAUACCUGAUGGUAUGAUGAGAUUGCAUGAAAUCAUCAUUAAAGAUUCAUCGGUGUACGAUGGGGAUGCGUUCCAUUAGAUAGUAGGCGGGGUAACGGCCCACCUAGUCUACGAUGGAUAGGGGUUCUGAGAGGAAGGUCCCCCACAUUGGAACUGAGACACGGUCCAAACUCCUACGGGAGGCAGCAGUGAGGAAUAUUGGUCAAUGGGCGCGAGCCUGAACCAGCCAAGUAGCGUGAAGGAUGAAGGUCCUACGGAUUGUAAACUUCUUUUAUAAGGGAAUAAAGUCAUCCACGUGUGGGUGUUUGUAUGUACCUUAUGAAUAAGCAUCGGCUAACUCCGUGCCAGCAGCCGCGGUAAUACGGAGGAUGCGAGCGUUAUCCGGAUUUAUUGGGUUUAAAGGGAGCGUAGGCGGGAGAUUAAGUCAGCUGUGAAAGUUCGGGGCUCAACCUUGGAAUUGCAGUUGAAACUGGUUUUCUUGAGUGCGGCAGAGGCAGGCGGAAUUCGUGGUGUAGCGGUGAAAUGCUUAGAUAUCACGAAGAACUCCGAUUG